AAAUAUAUAUAUUUUUUUUUGUAGUGGUUAAGGUUUCCUCAAGUGGGCCUCGAAUUUACCAAGAUUAAUAUUUUUGAAUGAUAUUCAGGCAGCGCCGAGUUUUGUAGUCGAAAAGUAUAAUGUGUAGAUUUUGUUGCAAAAUUCCAACAAGUUUAUUUUUAUCAACAAUUGAACGUUUUUGCACUGUUUUGGAAAUUUCUAUUUCUUUUCAAAGUGUCCGAAUGAAAAA
Molecule: long non-coding RNA, 229 nt
Organism: Rhagoletis zephyria (snowberry fruit fly)
Lineage: Eukaryota; Metazoa; Arthropoda; Insecta; Diptera; Tephritidae
Source: RefSeq, a predicted model, not a curated record